UACGAAGGGGGCGAGCGUUGUUCGGAAUCACUGGGCGUAAAGAGCGUGUAGGCGGUCCGGUAAGUCCGCUGUGAAAGUCGGGGGCUCAACCCUCGAAUGCCGGUGGAUACUGUCGGGCUAGAGUGCGGAAGAGGCGAGUGGAAUUCCUGGUGUAGCGGUGAAAUGCGCAGAUAUCAGGAGGAACACCCGUGGCGAAGGCGGCUCUCUGGGACGGUACUGACGCUGAGACGCGAAAGCGUGGGGAGCGAACAGG
Molecule: ribosomal RNA, 253 nt
Filed under: uncultured bacterium
Lineage: Bacteria
Description: partial 16S ribosomal RNA
Rfam family: Bacterial small subunit ribosomal RNA
Source: RNAcentral